RNAcentral lists this ribosomal RNA (253 nucleotides) under uncultured bacterium. RNAcentral describes it as "partial 16S ribosomal RNA". It matches the Rfam family "Bacterial small subunit ribosomal RNA", at positions 524 to 776 of the family's 1533-position model. The record is from RNAcentral.
UACGAAGGGGGCUAGCGUUGUUCGGAAUCACUGGGCGUAAAGCGCACGUAGGCGGAUGUGUCAGUCAGGGGUGAAAUCCCGGAGCUCAACUUCGGAACUGCCUUUGAUACAGCACAUCUGGAGUCCGGAAGAGGUGGGUGGAAUUCCUAGUGUAGAGGUGAAAUUCGUAGAUAUUAGGAAGAACACCGGUGGCGAAGGCAGCCCACUGGGCCGGUACUGACGCUGAGGUGCGAAAGCGUGGGGAGCAAACAGG